This 466-nucleotide ribosomal RNA is filed under the name uncultured bacterium. Its description in RNAcentral is "partial 16S ribosomal RNA". It matches the Rfam family "Bacterial small subunit ribosomal RNA", at positions 29 to 507 of the family's 1533-position model. The record is from RNAcentral.
AUGCAUGCUGGCGGCGUGCUUAACCCAUGCAAGUCGAACGGAAAGGCUCCUGCUUGCAGGGGUACUCGAGUGGCGAACGGGUGAGUAACACGUGGGUGAUCUGCCCUGCACUUCGGGAUAAGCCUGGGAAACUGGGUCUAAUACCGGAUAGGACCACAUUUUGGAUGGUGUGGUGGAAAGUUUUUCGGUGUGGGAUGAGCUCGCGGCCUAUCAGCUUGUUGGUGGGGUAAUGGCCUACCAAGGCGUCGACGGGUAGCCGGCCUGAGAGGGUGUACGGCCACAUUGGGACUGAGAUACGGCCCAGACUCCUACGGGAGGCAGCAGUGGGGAAUAUUGCACAAUGGGCGCAAGCCUGAUGCAGCGACGCCGCGUGGGGGAUGACGGCCUUCGGGUUGUAAACUCCUUUCGCUAGGGACGAAGCGUUUUAGUGACGGUACCUGGAGAAGAAGCACCGGCUAACUACGUG